AUGAACGCUGGCGGCGUGCCUAAUACAUGCAAGUCGAGCGAACAGACGAGGAGCUUGCUCCUCUGACGUUAGCGGCGGACGGGUGAGUAACACGUGGAUAACCUACCUAUAAGACUGGGAUAACUUCGGGAAACCGGAGCUAAUACCGGAUAAUAUAUUGAACCGCAUGGUUCAAUAGUGAAAGACGGUUUUGCUGUCACUUAUAGAUGGAUCCGCGCCGCAUUUAGCUAGUUGGUAAGGUAACGGCUUACCAAGGCAACGAUGCGUAGCCGACCUGAGAGGGUGAUCGGCCACACUGGAACUGAGACACGGUCCAGACUCCUACGGGAGGCAGCAGUAGGGAAUCUUCCGCAAUGGGCGAAAGCCUGACGGAGCAACGCCGCGUGAGUGAUGAAGGUCUUCGGAUCGUAAAACUCUGUUAUUAGGGAAGAACAAAUGUGUAAGUAACUAUGCACGUCUUGACGGUACCUAAUCAGAAAGCCACGGCUAACUACGUG
RNAcentral lists this ribosomal RNA (497 nucleotides) under uncultured bacterium. Its description in RNAcentral is "partial 16S ribosomal RNA". It matches the Rfam family "Bacterial small subunit ribosomal RNA", at positions 29 to 507 of the family's 1533-position model. The record is from RNAcentral.